UGUAGCGAGCCAGGGGUGACUAACCCAACAGAAAACAAAAUUUAAUCUCUGAAUUCCAACCCUUUGGAAAAGUAUAAAACUCAAGACUAUAGGACUAUUACUGACAAGACUGAAUAUUCUAUGACUAAAGGUUCUCCUGUUUCGAUACAAUCCGGACAAUCAGAUUAUGCUGUCCUGGUGAAAAGAACACCAAACAAGUUUUGAAGUUUCCAUAUAUUUAUUUAUUUUUCUAUACUAUAGGUCAUGAAGUUUACAUCAAAUAUGUAUUUGAGAAUACAAUAUAAGGAUACAGUAAUUACAUAAUAAAAUUUCUAGCACCUCUAAACCAGUCUCAGAGCUCUCAAUAAAAAUGAAGAACUCUAAUCUUUUGACAAUUUAUCAAUUCUAUAAGGUAUUAUUAAAUGUGUUGUAAUACGUGGAAAAAUAGGAGGUUAUGAUCUCUGGUCUCAUAUAGUACUGUUGGUAGUACUAUAUAAGAAUUUGUUCUGAUAUAUACGUGAACCUUUACAUGGUUGAGUCUUGCUAUAUAAAUUACUUAUUUAACUACAAUUUCUAUAAAUAUAAAGUUUAAUAAUUUGUGCAGAAGUUAAUCAGAAACCUUUUCUGAUUUAGAUAAAUAAGUUUAGGAAACUGAUUCCUUAUCAGUUCAAAAUAUGUUAAAUAACUAUCAGGUCCUUCCUGAUAUAAAAACAAAAAAAAUGUUUAAAGAAAUACUGUCAAGUCCUUACUUAGACAGCAUUCUAUAAAAUCAAGGCAACUGCCAGGUCCUUCCUGAAACAGUACCUAUAUUAAGUUAACAGUUAGAUCCUUUCUAACUGUUAACGAAUUUAAAUAUGGUUUCCAAACCUUAUGGAAACCAUAAUUCCUAAUUCCAAAGAUUGCCUAUUUAUUCCUAUUUAAAGUGUUUUAAAAUUUACAAACA
RNAcentral lists this long non-coding RNA (922 nucleotides) under Mytilus galloprovincialis (Mediterranean mussel). Lineage: Eukaryota; Metazoa; Mollusca; Bivalvia; Mytilida; Mytilidae. The record is from RNAcentral.